Molecule: ribosomal RNA, 253 nt
Filed under: uncultured bacterium
Lineage: Bacteria
Description: partial 16S ribosomal RNA
Rfam family: Bacterial small subunit ribosomal RNA
Source: RNAcentral
UACGAGGGGUCCUAGCGUUGUUCGGAAUCAUUGGGCGUAAAGCGGGUGUAGGCGGACUAUUAAGUCAGAAGUGAAAGCCCUGGGCUCAACCCAGGAAGUGCUUUUGAUACUGGUAGUCUUGAGUUAAGUAGAGGAUGGUGGAAUUCCUAGUGUAGUGGUGAAAUACGUAGAUACUAGGAGGAAUAUCGGUUGCGAAGGCGGCCAUCUGGACUUUAACUGACGCUGAGACCCGAAAGCGUGGGUAGCAAACAGG